RNAcentral lists this ribosomal RNA (329 nucleotides) under uncultured eukaryote. RNAcentral describes it as "partial 18S ribosomal RNA". It matches the Rfam family "Eukaryotic small subunit ribosomal RNA", at positions 1470 to 1796 of the family's 1831-position model. The record is from RNAcentral.
CCCUUAGAUGUUCUGGGCUGCACGCGCGCUACACUGAUGCGCUCAACGAGUUUUAACCUUGCCUGGAAAGGUUGGGUAAUCUUUUUAAAACGCUUCGUGAUGGGGAUAGAUUAUUGCAAUUAUUAAUCUUCAACGAGGAAUUCCUAGUAAGUGCGAGUCAUCAGCUUGCGCUGACUACGUCCCUGCCCCUUGUACACACCGCCCGUCGCUGCCCGGAACUGAGCCGUUUCGAGAAAGCCGGGGACCGACGACUUGUGGGUGCGCAAGCACUUCUAGUCGAUGGAAACCAGUUUAAUCGGUAUGGCUUGAACCGGGCAAAAGUCGUAACA